RNA transcript from Triticum dicoccoides, 2176 nucleotides. RefSeq lists it as uncharacterized. The transcript has 9 exons. NCBI's taxonomy places the organism in Eukaryota, Viridiplantae, Streptophyta, Magnoliopsida, Poales, Poaceae. The record is from RefSeq and is a predicted model, not a curated record.
GACGAGCAAGCUAAUUCCUGGAAGCGGACUUACUGCUAUGGUUGUGUUAAUGAUGACAGAGUGUUCCCAUCGUUGAAGCCAAACUGACAGAUGAGCCUGGUGUUGAUCCUUUUGCUCAAAGGAGGGAAGAGAAGAAGGGCAGCAUCGAUAAACAAGAAAAUAACAGACGUGGGAAUUUGAAGAACGGGCCAUCGUCGGAUUUUCUCGCAGGUGAGGGGAGGCGUUCAGGGGAUCGUCUACGAAGGCGCUGGCCACCAAGCGCCGAGCGGCAGCUAGCCUACAACGAAGAUCUGCACAAGGGCGCUACAAGAUCUGCAUGGACGUCCUAGAAUCCACCGGUCUGUAGUAACAUGAGUCCCACGCUCGGCCUCCUGCAAGGGCGACCUUUCCUACUCCCAAAAGCAGACCUGGUUCAAGAUCAGAGGCAACAAUUCAGUUCAGUUAAGUGAUUAGGCAUAAUGCGCGAAUGCAAGCAAGGUUGGGAUGAAUGGGUCGAUGGUGUCAUGCCUCGGCCCACAGGACCAGCUAACAAGUCAAGAUUGAGGUGGACACUGGAGCUCCCUCAGUAUUCUGUAGAGGCUGUGAACAAGCUUGAGGGACCUGAAAGUUGAGUGAUGGUUUUCCUUUAUUUUUCAAGUAUUUUAUAAUUUUUUAUUCUCCACUCUAAACAGUUCACUUCAAUAUCUCUUACACAAAAGCAACUCCCAAGGGCGUUCUGAAGCUUACGAAAGUGGAAGGCCUAAACAUCUAUCAUCUAAAGACUCAUUCGCAGAUACUACUUCAGGGUUAUUUCGCCACUUCACUGAAAAUGAAACCAAACAUCUCUUCUUCUUUUCUUUGUUGAACAGAAGUACCGACACACAAAGUAUAUUCCAUAGAUCAAAGAAGAGUAAAUGUGUAUAUCGCACAAUUCAAAGGUUAAAAUAUUGUUCUGCUAAAUACCCCCAUCAUCUCAGUAGUUUGUGGGUCAUUACGAUCAGCAUUUACGAUUUGCAUCAAAGUUUUCUAUGCAUGCAAAAAAACUACUCUGAUCAAGUUGGUAUGGAGUUGGACACCCAGACUUUUUGCGCAUCUAAGUGUCGUGACAUUGAUUGUUUCAUCUAAUUCUCCAUGUGCCAAGUGAUGUAAAUACUGAAAGGAUUACCAUUUUAUUAUAUUAACAAAGACAAUCGUUUCCUGUAACUACUACAGUAUCUUGACCGAUUCCAACUAGAUGGAACUGGCUCAAUUGUACAAGAAGUACAAGGACCAGGGUAUGAUCUAUCUGCAUAUGAUCAGUCCUUGAUUUUCAGUUAUGAUAUAUUAUGCUUACAAUUUGAUGUGACUACAGGUUUUGAGUUCCUUACUUUCCCAUGCAACCAGUUUGGUGGGCAGGAACCUGGCAUUAAUGAGUAAAUUGUUCAGAUUUCUUGCACUCAUUUGAAGGCCGAGUAUCUGAUUUUUGACAAGAUUUUUGAGGGGGGAGAUACAUGGUCUCAAUACUGCAUUCGGUCUAGAAGAAGCUGAUCUGUAUGAGAUGCGGCAGUGCCAGGGGACAAUUGCUUCUGCUAUUUUUGGUUCCAAAACUAUUACUUCAUCGACUCUUUCCUGAUGUGCGGUAUUCACUCUGGAUCGAUGGGAAACUUAAACUUGUGAAGGAUCCUUAUCAGCUGUUAGAGAUAUUCUUGUGGAGGAAAAAUGUGCGCUUCGCUAUUUCCAGGCAUUAUAGACACUUUGAUGUCCUUGAGGAAGCUGAGGCCAACAAGUCUGGUGGGAAGUAUGAUAAUGCUUCAAUUGAUAACCAAAUAGAGUUCUACAAGAGAGAGGGUUUAAUCCAUUAUUCAUCAGCUAAGUUCCUUAUUACAAGUGAUGUCCCCGAGGGCUGUGUAAUUAUAGGAGAGCACAUACCCAUCACCAAUCUAUUCACAUGCCUUUGGUUCAAUGAAGUUGAUCGUUCCACCUCAAGAGAUCAGCUAAGCUUUAGCGCAGCGAGGAAUAAAAUAAGAUCAAGAGUUCUUUUUGACAACUAAAUAAGAUCAGGAGUUAAUUGGACUGUAGACAUGUUCCUGGAUUGUGGAAGGCGUGAUUUUGUUGUUCAGGUACUUUCGAGUUAAUGCUUUGUGCGGCACGUCAUUCCAUUUGCAACCUAUAAGUACUACUGCAUCUUGGUACCGAGUGCAGACUUGUGAAAUUACAC